GGGGAAUAUUGGACAAUGGGCGAAAGCCUGAUCCAGCCAUGCCGCGUGUGUGAAGAAGGUCUUCGGAUUGUAAAGCACUUUAAGUUGGGAGGAAGAGUUGUAGAUUAAUACUCUGCAAUUUUGACGUUACCGACAGAAUAAGCACCGGCUAACUCUGUGCCAGCAGCCGCGGUAAUACAGAGGGUGCAAGCGUUAAUCGGAAUUACUGGGCGUAAAGCGCGCGUAGGUGGUUUGUUAAGUUGGAUGUGAAAUCCCCGGGCUCAACCUGGGAACUGCAUUCAAAACUGACUGACUAGAGUAUGGUAGAGGGUGGUGGAAUUUCCUGUGUAGCGGUGAAAUGCGUAGAUAUAGGAAGGAACACCAGUGGCGAAGGCGACCACCUGGACUAAUACUGACACUGAGGUGCGAAAGCGUGGGGAGCAAAC
Molecule: ribosomal RNA, 425 nt
Filed under: uncultured bacterium
Lineage: Bacteria
Description: bacterial SSU rRNA
Rfam family: Bacterial small subunit ribosomal RNA
Source: RNAcentral